This 961-nucleotide small RNA is filed under the name Pongo abelii (Sumatran orangutan). Its description in RNAcentral is "processed transcript". Lineage: Eukaryota; Metazoa; Chordata; Mammalia; Primates; Hominidae. The record is from RNAcentral.
CGGCCCCCACCGGGGCUGCAGAUGGCGUCUGAGUGCACAGUGGCGCGUGUGAUUCCGCAGUCUUGGGCUGUUCGGCCAAGUGCCCACCAGACGUGGGGCACUGGAGGGUCAGCAGCGUGGAGUCUGGCUUUCAGCGUCCACGGCUGGGAAAUCGGCCAUCGCCACGGCGGGAACUAGGACUGGCUGCGUCCCGGCCCUUCCCCAUCCGUCCACCGGACUCGUGGGCGCCCGCACUGGCGCUGAUGUAGUUUCCUGACCUCUGACCCGUAUUGUCUCAAGAUUAAAGGAAUCAGGAGCUUCUUUUGCUGUUCUGUUUUGGAUGCAUUGGAAGGUCCAGAUUUUGAACAAAUCUCUCUAGGGAUUGAACAGAGCUGCGCCUGGAUCCUGCCACAGUGAGGAGACCUGAAGACCAGAGGAAGCACAGCAACAUAGGACGGCACAGCAAGACCUUCACCAGAUGCAGGCCCCUUACAUUCCCAGUGUCCAGAACCGUAAACCAAGUGAACCCUUGCUUAUAAAUCAUCCAGUCUGUGGUAUUCUGUUAUAGCAACACAAACGGACUAAGGCAGGGACACUCAGUGGGCUCUUCUCUCUAUUUGAUGGAGCACUCCCUGUGUGGUACCUUAUAUUUGUAGACAUGAUCCUGUAAAUGCUCUUUGAGUGUCUUGAAGGCUUUUAUGUUUGAGGAGUUUACAGAGAAGCCCGUACAGGGUUCAGGUCCAGUCUUCUGUUGCUUCUUUGCUCCUUAGUACCUCCCCUAACCUGGUGUUAAAUUAGAUCAUAGUGUGGUCCUUGGACCAAUAGUAUCAGUAGCACCUGAAAAUCAUGCUGGAAAUACAGAUUCACAGGCUGCUCCACAGAAUACUGAAGCAGAAACUCUAGGAGUGAGACCCAACAAUGUGUGUUUAACAAGCUCCCAGGUGAGUCUGAUGCACAAAGAAACGUGAGCUGCUGUAUUAGA